This is a long non-coding RNA of Gasterosteus aculeatus aculeatus (three-spined stickleback), 1874 nucleotides long. NCBI's taxonomy places the organism in Eukaryota, Metazoa, Chordata, Actinopteri, Perciformes, Gasterosteidae. The record is from Ensembl.
AGCCAACAGUGUUCACCUGGGAGGGGGAGGGAAGGGACCGGAGGAAUGGGGCUCCGCUUUGAAGGUCAGAGAGCAUCUCGGAGCUGUCACGGCCCGGCUGCCCGCCGCGCGGGACCAACUUCCUUCCCGUCCUCGCCGAUACCGACAAGGCACCUAGGCCGCGGCGAGGACGGCGCGGAGUGGCGGUGGAUGUGAUGGGGGGGGAGGAGGAGGCGAUCAGGCCGUCAAGGCUGCGCCCCCGGUGAAUAAUUCCAAGCUUAAUUGGAAAGAAAUCCAUACGUGGAACUUCACGUGCGCACGGGAUCACAGUACCUUGAAGAAACAAUUACAAAGCAUAGAGAGUUGCCAUGUGGUUGGGUGGUUAAAGGGCGAUCGUGACACACCUGGGAGGAAAUGAAAGAACUCUCCCAAGAGCAGAGACGGAGUCUUUGCUGCCGUCAGAGUGAUUAGGUGUGGCUGCGGAGGCCAGCUUGCUUCCCCCGUCUUCAGCAGGUCCUAAUUUCAUGUGUCUCCAAUCCCCCGAAGAUGGGCAGUAAUCAGUUUGUUCCUGUCUGCUGGCUUUCUGGGAGGGAAAGGCGGCACUAAUCAGAAGUGGCACAGCGCUCGCAGAUGCCAGGCAAAGGGGAGGGGAGCGAGAUGACACCUCACGGAUUUAUUACCUCCCCAUCUGCAUCCUGAGCUCGGCGAAUCCUGCAGGAAAUGGGCAAAAUAAAUAAAGCUAACCGCCGCGUUAACCGAACGUGGCAAAUGCACGCUUGGAAUUUUGCGUCCAGAGACACCCCCUCUUGAGUGUUGCCUUUUGUGCUGAGGCUGUUUGUAUGUUUGGCUGCUUUGCGUUUAGGAAUUAUUAUCCUCAGUUCAGUUUUACUAUUUUGUCUUUAUUUUGAUUUUGUCUACUGCCUCCUCGUUUCAUAUGUGAUUUAAUUUCAGUAGAAUGAGAAUGAUACAGUGCUGAAGAACAAACUCGGCUAGGGUUGUAUUUAAGUAUUUUCAUCAGUUGGUUUAUUUAUUCAAAGAUGUUUGGCCUACUGACCUUUUCUCCCUGACCACCUUAGGGCAGCACAUUCACUGCGCUCUGGCCUAAAAACCUUUUUUAUUCAGCUUGUUUUUACUAGCUUUUACUUCAUUUUAAGUAUGUUUUAACUAUGUUUUGGCACUUGAUGAAAGGUCCGUUAUAAUUAAAAAUGUAUUAUAAAUAUGCGGCGAAAAACAAUUUAUAUAUUCAAUAGAAAACCAUCUUUUGAGAUGUGGAGUACAUGUAUUUGUAACUAACAGUAUUUUCCUCAUGAUUAUGAGUACAUUGUUAAAAAACAUAAUUUAAAGUGGCAAGAACACUAAAUGUAUAAAUUUAAAAAAUGUCUGUUUUACUGUUUUCUGUUCUGGGGCUUUUAUCAAAAGUUCUUUCCUCUUUUGUUCCCUUAUUUAUGUUCAGUUUGGAUAAUCCAAAGUGAUGUUCCCACACACUUUGCGGCCUGUUUGUUAGGCCAUGCCCCUAAUAAGGUUUACAAUUGAGCAUCACAUUAAGGCGUUGACCUUUUGAUGUAACCCAACUGGCCUUUUCACCCAUAGACAUUCACCUUUGACCUUUGUCAUUCUCAAUACUCCGUGAACAGGUUGUGGGUUGAGUAUCGAUUAUAUAUUGUCUUUAAGGUGCUCAGGUAUUGAGCCCUCUUCAGUUCAUCGCGGAUUGAAUGGGAGAUUACAUAUUGAGGGAAUAAUCUAUGGAAUACAUUUCAUAACAUGGGGCCUUUGAUCUGUGGUGGUUUCAGAUGUCUGAUUUGAGACCUGUCUAUUUCUCACACUUCAUUCUGUGUCACUUUCAGCUCAGGGAGAGGCAGAAUUCCUUUUCUUAUAUAAAAAAACAAACACAAAAC